RNAcentral lists this long non-coding RNA (3106 nucleotides) under Citrus sinensis (sweet orange). RNAcentral describes it as "long non-coding RNA (CSIN_LNC004748)". Lineage: Eukaryota; Viridiplantae; Streptophyta; Magnoliopsida; Sapindales; Rutaceae. The record is from RNAcentral.
CCGUGUUCUAUCCCCUGAAACACUCACGAAGCUCAUUGUCCCUCUCACUCAUGAUGAAGCUCGUUGUCCCACUUACCAACGAAGCUCGCUAUCCCUCUCACUCGCCCACAAAGCUCGUUGUCACGCCACACCCAUUGCCGACCAGUUGCCUAACGUCACUGACCAACCGCAAUUCACGUCACCGACCAGUUGCCUAACGUCACUGACCAACCGCAAUUCACGUCGCCGACUAGUCUUACUUGACAGUGUGCUUGACGAUUUUGGACCUUUUUCACCUGUUCAGGUAAUUAAAUUUAGUAUGCUAAGGAAAGUUUUGAUUUAUUAGGUUGCGAUGUCAAAAAUAGAUUGGGUAGUAUUAGUGGUCAAUUUUCUAGAAUUGUUUUACUGUUGGUGUUUGGAUUGUUUUUGGAAUUUAUAUUUAAAAUUAUGAGAAAUAAGUUAUUUGAAAUGCAGAUUUUGUUUGAAUUAUAUAUGGUUCGUACAAUUUUAUUUUUGAUGGUAUAGAAAUGACGAAUUUGGAAAAAGAUUAUGAAGUCGAAGAAUUAGAUGACAAUGAUUCAAAUGGAAAUAAUAAAGAAACUAAUAAUGUAGUGGAUGUGAAACCAAAAAAGUAUGUGUCAAAAUUUGGGAUGUUGUUUGAUAAUCUUGAUUAGAUGUAUGAUUAUUAUAAAGGUUUUAGUAAACAAGAGGGUUUUCCAAUAAAGUGACAAACUACUAAAAAAGGAUUUGAUGGGAUUGUGAGAUAUGUGACUUUUUCUUAUGAGCGGGAAGCCUAAAAUUCAGUUUUCUAAUGUAUGGAGGCCAUAACCUAGGAGGAGAAGUGGUUGCGAAGUGAAUUUGGAGGAUGUCUUAAUGAAGAUGGAAAAUGGGUUGUUUGAAAUUUAGUUCUUGAACACAACCAUGGAGUGAUAUAACCACCACAUUAGUUCAAGUGUAAAAAAAUCUUGAUAUAAAUGAUAAAGCAAGAAUUAAAGUUGCACAAAAUUUUGCUUCUGUUGUUGUUGAAGUAUGUGGAUUUGAAAAUGUCUCAUUCAUAGAAAGAGAUGUUAGAAAUCGCACCAUCCAUGCAAGGAGAUUACAACUAAAAGAAGGGGAUGUUAUGGCAAUUCAAGUGAAUUUUAAGAAAAUGCAGAAAGAAUGUAAUGGCUUUUACUAUGACAUAGACGUGAAUGAAGAUGGUCAACUAGUCAAUGUAUGAUGGGUAGAUCCAAAGAGUAGGGUACCUUACAAGGAUUUUGGAGAUGUUAUGUUCAACACUACAUAGCUUACAAACAAGUAUGACAUGCCAUUUUCUCCCUUUGUGGGAGUUAACCAUCAUGGUCAGUUUAACUUGCUAGUGUGUGGAUUGAUUUCUUAUGAGGACACUAAGACAUUUAUAUGGUUAUUUUCAGUUGUGUCUCCUGCAUGUUGAGCUCUCCUCCCAAUAAAAUCAUUACAGCCCAGGAUAAAGUAACCAAAAAGGCUAUUGAGAUAUUUUUUCCUCAUACUAGAUAUCGAUGGUAAUUGUAGCAUAUUCUAAAAAGGGUACCUGAGAUGUUAGGGGGCUUAUAAAAAAAUAUGAUGGCAUUAAAUUCAUUACUUUCUACUAUUUAUAAUUUGCAAAGUCCUAGUAUGUUUGAGAAUGCAUAGCAUGACAUAAUUAUGAAAUAUGAUUUAGGUUGCAAUGAUUAGUUCAAGUGGUUUGUACAAUGAGAGAUAUUGUUAGGUUCCGUGUUUUGUGAAUAAUAGUUUUUUUGGUAGGAAUAUCAACAACUCAAUAAAGUGAGAGCAUGAUGCUUUUCUUUAUAGGUACGUGACAUCAAAAACAACAUUGAAACAACCUGUGGAGCAAUUUGAUAAUGCAUUGCAAAGUAAAGUGGAAAAGAAUCAUAAAAAGAUGAGAACUGUUUAAGGCAAUAGAUUUUAUGUGUAACUAUUUUUGAAAUGGAGAGGCAAAUUCAAGAGGCUUACACUAACUCAAAGUUUCUUGAAUUUCAGCAAGAGCUACUUGGUUUGAUGUAUUGUGACAUAAUCGACUGUGUGGGAUCAUUAUAUGAUGUUAGUGAACAGAGUGUGGAUGGUAACAAAAGAAGUUCCGAAUUCAUUUUUGAAAAUGAUGAAAGCACAGUGGAUGUAGCUAUUUAAAGUUUGAAUCUGCAAGGCUUAUGUGUAGACAUGCCAUUGGAUCAUUUCUGUGUUGUUUCGUAACUCUAUUACUCUACUUCCAGAAAAAUACAUCUUACGGAGAUGGAGAAAAGAUGUAUAAAGAUGUCAUAAUAAGGUAAAAUUCAGUUGUGAGAGGUGGAGUUUUAACUAAUGAACAGAAGCAAUGUAGAAAAAUGUGUGAUGUUUUUAGCAAUGUUGUGAACAUAGCUGCAGAUGAUAGAAAAAAGUUACCAAUUCCUUAUGGAUUUGAUUGGGAAAAUAGAAGUGGGUCUGCCUUAGAGAAUUUGUUGUAGAAGUAAAACAAGUGGUAACAACAAGGUGGGAUGUAUAAUGAAUGAGAAUAAUCAAAUUAACCUACAAGAUCUAGUUGUAUCUUGAACAAAAGGUUGUCUACCUUCUCAAAGAAAACAAUCGAAGGUUGAGAAGAAAUACAAAAAGAAAAUUAAGGUAAGAUUAAAUACUUAGAUAAUUAUUUUAUAGUUAAUUUUAAUUUAUCUUUUUAUGGAUUUACUGGACUCAAAUGUAAAAACUCUAUUAUCUUUUAAUGUGGAUAUUGUGGUCCCAACGCAGGAGAGCAAUAAGAAUUCAGUAAGUUUUGUGUUUUUUUAUGUAUGUUUAUUAAUAUUAAAUUUGUCAUUAUGUAAAAAGUUACCAGUACAGUGUUUAUUUAGGCACCUGUGUUUGCAUGCCGAUCACCAGGAUGCGAUAUUUAUCCAUCAUAUCCUUUUGAUUCUUACACUAUAAGUUAUAAACCAAUUUCUAUAUUUUAUGCCUAAUUAAUUUUGCACUUUAUGGAAUGUAAUAUGGUUAUUAUUUUAUGCAAACUAACAAUCUCUAUUACUCUCAUCGCAUCCAUCUAUGUUGCCUUAUUCUUCGUCUUAGAUACUCUAUGGAGGAUCUCAACAAGGGAGUUUUCAGCAAUUACUACUUCAAACUAGGGGUGAGCGUUCGGAUCAGGUUA